This 180-nucleotide RNase P RNA is filed under the name Coriobacteriia bacterium. Its description in RNAcentral is "partial RNase P RNA component class A". It matches the Rfam family "Bacterial RNase P class A", at positions 172 to 367 of the family's 367-position model. Rfam says of the family: Ribonuclease P (RNase P) is a ubiquitous endoribonuclease, found in archaea, bacteria and eukarya as well as chloroplasts and mitochondria. Its best characterised activity is the generation of mature 5'-ends of tRNAs by cleaving the 5'-leader elements of precursor-tRNAs. Lineage: Bacteria; Bacillati; Actinomycetota; Coriobacteriia. The record is from RNAcentral.
AGCGCACCAGCGAUGCGGUAACGUAUCGGCUUGGUAAACCCCAUCCGGAGCAAGGGCAAAUAGGAGCGAUAUCGGUCGGCCCGGCCGUCGCUCGGGUUGCCUGCUUGAGGGCUGCGGUGACGCAGCUCCCAGAUAAAUGGUCAUCUCAGACAGAAUCCGGCUUACACGCCCACUCAAGGA